Molecule: ribosomal RNA, 863 nt
Filed under: uncultured bacterium
Lineage: Bacteria
Description: bacterial SSU rRNA
Rfam family: Bacterial small subunit ribosomal RNA
Source: RNAcentral
AGAGUUUGAUCAUGGCUCAGGACGAACGCUGGCGGCGUGCUUAAUACAUGCAAGUAGAACGCUGAAGACUGGUGCUUGCACUAGUCAGAUGAGUUGCGAACGGGUGAGUAACGCGUAGGUAACCUACCUUAUAGCGGGGGAUAACUAUUGGAAACGAUAGCUAAUACCGCAUGACAAUUAAGUACUCAUGUACUAAAUUUAAAAGGAGCAAUUGCUUCACUAUGAGAUGGACCUGCGUUGUAUUAGCUAGUUGGUGAGGUAACGGCUCACCAAGGCCACGAUACAUAGCCGACCUGAGAGGGUGAUCGGCCACACUGGGACUGAGACACGGCCCAGACUCCUACGGGAGGCAGCAGUAGGGAAUCUUCGGCAAUGGGGGCAACCCUGACCGAGCAACGCCGCGUGAGUGAAGAAGGUCUUCGGAUCGUAAAGCUCUGUUGUUAGAGAAGAACGGUAAUGGGAGUGGAAAAUCCAUUACGUGACGGUAACUAACCAGAAAGGGACGGCUAACUACGUGCCAGCAGCCGCGGUAAUACGUAGGUCUCGAGCGUUGUCCGGAUUUAUUGGGCGUAAAGCGAGCGCAGGCGGUUAUUUAAGUCUGAAGUUGAAGGCCGUGGCUCAACCAUGGUUCGCUUUGGAAACUGGAUAACUUGAGUGCAGAAGGGGAGAGUGGAAUUCCAUGUGUAGCGGUGAAAUGCGUAGAUAUAUGGAGGGACACCGGUGGCGAAAGCGGCUCUCUGGUCUGUAACUGACGCUGAGGCUCGAAAGCGUGUGGAGCAAACAGGAUUAGAUACCCUGGUAGUCCACGCCGUAAACGAUGAGUGCUAGGUGUUAGGCCCUUUCCGGGGCUUAGUGCCGCAGCU